AGUUAUAACAAAAAUUGUGAGAAACAGAGAGAAAGAGAGAGGAACAGUUGCUUUGGGAGCGAAUUACUCCAAUUUGGAAGUACAUUCAGCAGUGUGGCACUCUUGUUCAGAAGCUGGUCUGCUGGAUUGAUUGCAUUCAAUGCCUCUAGUUGUUUUGUGAGUACCAAGGUGGCAGAAGAUGCUUCUCUGCUGAACUCCUCUCCCACAGGACACUGAACACUGAAGAGGCACAAAAAAUUUGGCAAGGAGAACAUUAGAUGGUCAAUAAGAGAAGCAAACAGACCCUGACUAAAGGACAUGGAGAGGAACUGGAAGGAACUGGAACUGGAAGCUGUAGUGAAAAUGCAAGGCAUACAUUCAGCUGGGCCGCAGGGAGUGUCAGCCCAGCUCAUAUCUAGAUUUUUUGAAUUAGAAUAAAUUGCCACACUUUUCUGCAGUCAUGAAGGGUACUGAAAUACAUAGCAGUUACUUAAUGAUUUGCCACAGGCACCGUUUCCACUGCACAAUCACACACUAUGAAAUUUUUAGAUCUCCUAUGAUGCGUGAAUUAUAAUUUCAAUGUGGCAAGCAACGUGCAAACCCCAAACAGUCAAAAUAAUUCAAUUUCUUUGGAUUAAAACUGAACCCCAACCAUUUUAUGAUGUUUUAAACCUGGAGGCCUAACAAAACAAUCAAAACUGUCAUGUCAACUAUUAUUUAAGAUCCUGGUAUCACCAGGAAGGAAACAUUUGUGGUCUUGGUAAAUAUCACUCUUAUCAGGCAGAUACCACCUCCCGUAUGCCUCCUCUCUGUAAAACUGAUAACUUUCAAUGUGAAAAAGGCUCUCUACUUCUACGCAAGUGCCUGAUUGUAUUGACGUUUAGGUUUAUUAGAUUUGUACAUCAUUUCCCACUAAAAAAGUCUCGCGGUGAUUUACAAUCCAAGGCCCGAUUUAUUCAAUUUCCUCUUCUCGAACUGAACCAGUUUUUUACACAGUAGCUUGUGUAGAGGGCCUGCUUCAUGCUGGAGGUUAUCUGUGUGGUGGAGUGGAGAGUAUCACAUUGCUAC
Molecule: long non-coding RNA, 1047 nt
Organism: Rhineura floridana
Lineage: Eukaryota; Metazoa; Chordata; Lepidosauria; Squamata; Rhineuridae
Exons: 3
Source: RefSeq, a predicted model, not a curated record